AUGUAAACCUUGAAUUUUGUACAUCUUGUUCCAUGGUAGCGUCAAUCUCAUUUAGCGAGUUUGUAGAACAUCGUUAAUAGUUAAUUGAAAAUAGUUAUUGAAUUUGUCAUAAAACUAUUAUUUUGAAUAUUAGAAACGUCUUAAGGUAUACCCAAAUGUCUGAAUCAGAUCUUUUAGCUACCGAUCAUAUUGAUGGUCUAGAUGGACUAGAAAAUGGUCAAGAUGGAGAUGCUAUUAUGCAGUGUGAUGGUGUAAAACGUGAAUUAAAUGAAGCAAAUAUUGAUGAUCCGGAAUUGGAAGCUAUCAAAGCACGUGUUAGAGAAAUGGAAGAGGAAGCAGAAAAAUUAAAACAAUUACAAUCUGAAGUGGACAAACAAAUGAACAUGGGUAGUCCACCUGGGAUAACUAGUCCAUUAAAUAUGUCACUUGAAGAUAAAAGAGAGGUUGAUAAUAGGUCUAUUUAUGUGGGUAAUGUGGAUUAUGGAGCUACAGCAGAAGAAUUAGAGCAACACUUUCAUGGUUGUGGUAGCGUUAACAGAGUAACAAUAUUGUGCAAUAAAUUUGAUGGGCAUCCCAAAGGGUUUGCAUAUAUAGAAUUUGCAGAACGUGAUUCUGUACAAACUGCUAUGGCUAUGGAUGAAUCUAUGUUCAGAGGGCGUCAAAUUAAAGUAAUGCCCAAAAGAACAAACAGACCAGGAUUGUCAGUGACAAAUAGAGGACCGCGGGGAACACGAGGAUAUCGUGGCGUAGCUAGGGGGAUUAUACGCGGUAGUGCAUACUUUGGAUAUAGACCUACAAGGCGACCUAGAUUGUAAAUUUUGUUCUGAUGCAGGAGUUAUAAACGAGGUUACUACAUGCCGUAUUGACCGUUUUAAAUCAUUUUACUGCAAUUUUACAAAUUAAGAAAAAAAAACUGAUACGAUGGGGAAAAAAAGAGAAAGAAAAAACCUCAUGUCAAAAGAAAAAAAAAAGAUUGGACAAUGAUGGGCACAAUUAAUCAUAUUUGAUUUAAUAAAACUUCAUAUGAAUAUUAAAAAUGUAGAUCAGCGAUAAUUUGCUAUUGCAGUUCAAUUAUGCUUUUGCCUAAUUUACGUUGUAAUCGGAGCAGUUUUGUAGUAUCAGCCUUUAUUAUUUCCCAAGAACUUCAAUUUUUCUAGAUUACAGAAAAAUGCAUAGUUUGAAUAUCAAUAAAGUCAUGCUAUUACAAAAAAACGCAAUGAAUGUCAUUUCAGCCCAAAAAAAGAAAUCGCAAAACUGUUACAUUUCCGAAAGGUUGAGGUUUGUAUUACUUCAGAAUAAAUAUUAAUUGUUUUUAUGCACUCUACAGGUGUAAUUAUAUGAUAUCCCUUAUGUUUCUCAGUAUAAUAGCUUUUCUGUUUCUAAUUAUUUUUUUCCAAUUUGGAACGGUUUAACUCUACUAAAUUCGUACGAAUAGCAAUAAAGUUCUUUUCUAAUUCAAAUCAUCAGUUUUUUAUUAUUGACACAUGAAUUUUUAUGAUAAGUAAUUUGUAUACUUAUGUGAUUUAUUAAAAUUAUGAACUAUUCUUUCUACUGUGUAAAAAAGAAAAGUAUAAGAUUUUAAACUGCAAAAAAAAAUUAUGGCUGUUAAUAAUAAUGGUAAGAGUAUUAAAAUAUGGUAGGCUAAUAUUAAAUGGUAUACAAAAGAACAAUUUUAUAGUAUACUUGAUGUCACAGAAGCAUAUUAGUAGCUUAGAAAAUGAUUUUAAGAUGUUAUAAUAUAGCAAUAAUAAUUUUAGAAAUAUUUUUGGUAUAAUAUAAAGGCUGAUACUGGUAUAAAAAAAAAAAAUAAAAAUUAUGAUAUCAUAAUCUAAAUGAUAUUAUCAAAAUAUAGUUUUAAUACCCCCAAUAUAUAUUUCUAAUGGCUCUUUAAUAAUAUUUGUCUAGUGAUAACAAAUUUUGUUGUUGUUAAAUAGUCUUAUAGUUAAGCAUGCAUUUCAAAUAUCAAGUAAAUGGAAGAGUUGAACUGCAAUGUAAAUAUCUAGAGUAAUAUCAUAUUACUAUAAUUUAAAUAGUAACUUUUGUAUGCAUAGUAAGUGAAAGUUGCUAGAACAAUACGUUCUUAUAAUUGUUCUGUAGAAUGUAACAUAUAUUGAUACUAAUGUGAGCAACUUUCAUUUAUUUAUUACUAACUAUACAUCCUCAAUUUUAUCUCAAACACAUUGCUACUAAUUUGUAAGACGCGUGUAAAAUGUUUUUGAACUAUUAAUCCACUACUAUGAUGUUAGGAGGAGAGCCAAGUUUUCACAUAUUAAUCGAGCUACAUUUCGUAACGUUACUUCCAUGUCGCUAAGUAUUUUGCAGGUGCAGUGCAGCAUCAGCAUCAAUUGAGUGAUAAUCAUACAAAUUUCAUGAACAAUUUUUACGUUCCAUUAAAAA
Molecule: non-coding RNA, 2397 nt
Organism: Osmia lignaria (orchard mason bee)
Lineage: Eukaryota; Metazoa; Arthropoda; Insecta; Hymenoptera; Megachilidae
Source: RefSeq, a predicted model, not a curated record